UACGUAGGGUGCAAGCGUUGUCCGGAAUUAUUGGGCGUAAAGGGCGCGUAGGCGGCCUGGCAAGUGGAAGGUGAAAUCCCUCGGCUUAACCGAGGAACUGCCUUCCAAACUGCUUGGCUUGAGUCCGGGAGAGGUGAGUGGAAUUCCCAGUGUAGCGGUGAAAUGCGUAGAUAUUGGGAGGAACACCAGUGGCGAAGGCGGCUCACUGGACCGGAACUGACGCUGAUGCGCGAAAGCGUGGGGAGCAAACAGG
RNAcentral lists this ribosomal RNA (253 nucleotides) under uncultured bacterium. RNAcentral's name for it is "partial 16S ribosomal RNA". It matches the Rfam family "Bacterial small subunit ribosomal RNA", at positions 524 to 776 of the family's 1533-position model. The record is from RNAcentral.